GUACCCUACUACAUGGAUACCUGUGGUAAUUCUAGAGCUAAUACAUGCGCAAAACCCCGACUUCGGAAGGGGUGUAUUUAUUAGAUAAAAAACCAAUGCCCUUCGGGGCUCCUUGGUGAUUCAUAAUAACUUCACGAAUCGCAUGGCCUUGCGCCGGCGAUGGUUCAUUCAAAUUUCUGCCCUAUCAACUUUCGAUGGUAGGAUAGUGGCCUACCAUGGUGGCAACGGGUAACGGGGAAUUAGGGUUCGAUUCCGGAGAGGGAGCCUGAGAAACGGCUACCACAUCCAAGGAAGGCAGCAGGCGCGCAAAUUACCCAAUCCCGAUACGGGGAGGUAGUGACAAUAAAUACUGAUACAGGGCUCUUUUGGGUCUUGUAAUUGGAAUGAGAACAAUCUAAAUCCCUUAACGAGGAACAAUUGGAGGGCAAGUCUGGUGCCAGCAGCCGCGGUAAUUCCAGCUCCAAUAGCGUAUAUUAAAGUUGUUGCAGUUAAAAAGCUCGUAGUUGAACCUUGGGCCCGUCCUGCCGGUCCGCCUCACCGCGAGUACUGGUCCGGAUGGGCCUUUCUUUCUGGGGAAUCCCAUGGCCUUCACUGGCUGUGGCGGGGAACCAGGACUUUUACUGUGAAAAAAUUAGAGUGUUCAAAGCAGGCCUUUGCUCGGAUACAUUAGCAUGGAAUAAUAGAAUAGGACGUGCGGUUCUAUUUUGUUGGUUUCUAGGACCGCCGUAAUGAUUAAUAGGGAUAGUCGGGGGCGUCAGUAUUCAGCUGUCAGAGGUGAAAUUCUUGGAUUUGCUGAAGACUAACUACUGCGAAAGCAUUCGCCAAGGAUGUUUUCAUUAAUCAGGGAACGAAAGUUAGGGGAUCGAAGACGAUCAGAUACCGUCGUAGUCUUAACCAUAAACUAUGCCGACUAGGGA
RNAcentral lists this ribosomal RNA (917 nucleotides) under Talaromyces purpureogenus. Its description in RNAcentral is "SSU rRNA". It matches the Rfam family "Eukaryotic small subunit ribosomal RNA", at positions 127 to 1052 of the family's 1831-position model. Lineage: Eukaryota; Fungi; Ascomycota; Eurotiomycetes; Eurotiales; Trichocomaceae. The record is from RNAcentral.